This 524-nucleotide ribosomal RNA is filed under the name uncultured bacterium. Its description in RNAcentral is "partial 16S ribosomal RNA". It matches the Rfam family "Bacterial small subunit ribosomal RNA", at positions 28 to 523 of the family's 1533-position model. The record is from RNAcentral.
GACGAACGCUGGCGGCGUGCCUAAUACAUGCAAGUCGAACGAAGCUGUUUUAACUGGUGCUUGCACCGACUUAAACAACUGAGUGGCGAACGGGUGAGUAACACGUGGGUAACCUGCCCCAAAGCAGGGGAUAACAUUUGGAAACAGAUGCUAAUACCGCAUAACCACAGAAACCACAUGGUUUCUGUGUCAAAGAUGGUUUCGGCUAUCACUUUGGGAUGGACCCGCGGCGUAUUAGCUAGUUGGUAAGGUAAUGGCUUACCAAGGCAAUGAUACGUAGCCGAACUGAGAGGUUGAUCGGCCACAUUGGGACUGAGACGCGGCCCGAACUCCUACGGGAGGCAGCAGUAGGGAAUCUUCCACAAUGGACGAAAGUCUGAUGGAGCAACGCCGCGUGAGUGAAGAAGGUUUUCGGAUCGUAAAACUCUGUUGUCAGAGAAGAACGUGUGCGAGAGUAACUGUUCGUGCAGUGACGGUAUCUGGCCAGAAAGCCACGGCUAACUACGUGCCAGCCGCCGCUGUAA